CCGGCCGUUCGCGAGCAGGCCCAGCGAGCGCGGAUUGCCGCUCGGCGGCAGGAUCCAGAGCUCGAGCGAUUUGCCGGCUUCGGCCGCCGGCAGCCGCGCC
This 100-nucleotide transfer RNA is filed under the name Hypericibacter terrae. Its description in RNAcentral is "tRNA-Gly". Lineage: Bacteria; Pseudomonadati; Pseudomonadota; Alphaproteobacteria; Rhodospirillales; Dongiaceae. The record is from RNAcentral.